AUUGAUGCUUUGGAGGAUCUCUGAGUAUUUCUGAAGAACUAAAGAAUUAUGCCUCACAGCAGCCCAUAAGGUGCUCAUCCCACUUACGCAGAGGAAGAAAAAUGGACUGUAAAAGGAGCCCAUGGGCAAGAGGCUCUAGAAGGGAGAGAAGAGCUUUUCAAUGGCGUCUGUUUGCUCCUGCCGACCAGCCUAACUUACUUCUGCCUUUAACUGGCUGAAGGAGAAGAGCUUACAGGGUGAGCAGAACCUGAGACUGUUCAGCUUCACAAGGAAACAGUGGAUGUGCAGCAAAUAAAAACCUUUGGGAGAUGUUAAUCCUGUUAUAUGGAUGGUGCCAGUGCAAAGCUUCCUUGAAGUCAGCACUAGUAGGGCGGGCAGGUGAGAUAUGAGAUGGGUGGGACAAGAAUUCCAGGACACCUCUUGGGCCACUCAUAAACUUGUGCAAAUCCAGGGCUAAGGGUUCUUUGUCCCUCCUACAGCUUAGCUGCUCACAGUGCUGUGGCUGAAGGCUGGAAAACAGCACAUACGCUAAGGUGAAAAUAGCAGCACACGCUGUAUUUUGUGCUGUUCUCUCUCCUGACGUAAUCAAGUACUGUAAGUUUUACACACCAGCGCACAGAUUACUGGCAUUUACUAGGAAGCACGAGGAGUAGGCUGGCAACUGCUUGGAGGCACGCGGAAUAUUCAGGCAAUUGCUCCAGAGCAUGGGGAAUGCACAAGCAAUUCAAUUCCCAACUGGUUUCUAGGCAGGAGCUACCAAUUAAAAUUAAAAGAAUAAAAGACUGCGAGCUUGGGACUGAUGAUGUGCUCUGGAGAGAGGAGUUGCCAACAGCUUGUGCUACAAAGAUGCCUCUCUUUCAGUGGAUUUCAAAUGGCAAAAGAAACUCAGGUGUUUGGUUCAGAGGGGGCUGUGAGGCCUCCAGAUGCUUUGAAAGGCCCCCCUGGCUCACCCUGGGGCUGGAGGAAGGCAGACUUUGACGGAGAGGAGAUCCAGGGAGUUGGUAAGCGUGCCUAGUCCUCUGGGCACUGGUCUUUUUAAAACUCUUUUGAAAAUUGUUCUGAAUUGUUCUGUCUUCAGAAAUCGUGAAUUUCUCUUGCAGCACAGGUUUUUCCCUCUCACGUUGGCCUCAUGGUCUCUUUUUAUACUAGGUCUGAUUGGUAGAGUGUAGAGAUUCCUGCUGUUGGGAAUUUCAGGAAGGUGACUAAAGCAUAAAUAAAAUGAAUGUUGGGCUCUUUCCUGAAUGUCA
Molecule: long non-coding RNA, 1247 nt
Filed under: Numida meleagris (helmeted guineafowl)
Lineage: Eukaryota; Metazoa; Chordata; Aves; Galliformes; Numididae
Description: lncRNA (ENSNMEG00000014477.1)
Source: RNAcentral